CCUACGGGAGGCAGCAGUGGGGGAUAUUGCACAAUGGGGGAAACCCUGAUGCAGCGACGCCGCGUGAGUGAAGAAGUAUUUCGGUAUGUAAAGCUCUAUCAGCAGGGAAGAAAAUGACAGUACCUGACCAAGAAGCCCCGGCUAACUACGUGCCAGCAGCCGCGGUAUUACGUAGGGGGCAAGCGUUAUCCGGAUUUACUGGGUGUAAAGGGAGGGUAGGCGGUAAUGGAAGUCUGGAGUGAAAGCCAGGGGCCCAACCCCGGGACUGCUUUGGAAACUGUGUAACUGGAGUACGGGAGGGGCAGGCGGAAUGCCGGGGGUAGCGGUGAAAUGCGUAGAUAUCGGGAGGAACCCCGGCGGCGAGGGCGGCCUGCUGGACCAUAACUGCCGUUGAGGCGCGAAAGCGUGGGGAGCAAACAGGAUUAGAUACCCGUGUAGUC
RNAcentral lists this ribosomal RNA (440 nucleotides) under uncultured bacterium. Its description in RNAcentral is "partial 16S ribosomal RNA". It matches the Rfam family "Bacterial small subunit ribosomal RNA", at positions 338 to 795 of the family's 1533-position model. The record is from RNAcentral.